This 497-nucleotide ribosomal RNA is filed under the name uncultured bacterium. Its description in RNAcentral is "partial 16S ribosomal RNA". It matches the Rfam family "Bacterial small subunit ribosomal RNA", at positions 28 to 507 of the family's 1533-position model. The record is from RNAcentral.
GACGAACGCUGGCGGCGUGCCUAAUACAUGCAAGUUGAGCGAUGAAGAUUGGUGCUUGCACCAAUUUGAAGAGCAGCGAACGGGUGAGUAACGCGUGGGGAAUCUGCCUUUGAGCGGGGGACAACAUUUGGAAACGAAUGCUAAUACCGCAUAAUAACUUUAAACAUAAGUUUUAAGUUUGAAAGAUGCAAUUGCAUCACUCAAAGAUGAUCCCGCGUUGUAUUAGCUAGUUGGUGAGGUAAAGGCUCACCAAGGCGAUGAUACAUAGCCGACCUGAGAGGGUGAUCGGCCACAUUGGGACUGAGACGCGGCCCAAACUCCUACGGGAGGCAGCAGUAGGGAAUCUUCGGCAAUGGACGAAAGUCUGACCGAGCAACGCCGCGUGAGUGAAGAAGGUUUUCGGAUCGUAAAACUCUGUUGGUAGAGAAGAACAUUGGUGAGAGUGGAAAGCUCAUCAAGUGACGGUAACUACCCAGAAAGGGACGGCUAACUACGUG